AGUGAACGCUGGCGUAGGCCUAACACAUGCAAGUCGAACGGCAGCACAGUAAGAGCUUGCUCUUACGGGUGGCGAGUGGCGGACGGGUGAGGAAUACAUCGGAAUCUACUUUUUCGUGGGGGAUAACGUAGGGAAACUUACGCUAAUACCGCAUACGACCUACGGGUGAAAGCAGGGGAUCUUCGGACCUUGCGCGAUUGAAUGAGCCGAUGUCGGAUUAGCUAGUUGGCGGGGUAAAGGCCCACCAAGGCGACGAUCCGUAGCUGGUCUGAGAGGAUGAUCAGCCACACUGGAACUGAGACACGGUCCAGACUCCUACGGGAGGCAGCAGUGGGGAAUAUUGGACAAUGGGCGCAAGCCUGAUCCAGCCAUACCGCGUGGGUGAAGAAGGCCUUCGGGUUGUAAAGCCCUUUUGUUGGGAAAGAAAAGCAGCAGGUUAAUACCCCGCUGUUCUGACGGUACCCAAAGAAUAAGCACCGGCUAACUUCGUG
This 491-nucleotide ribosomal RNA is filed under the name uncultured bacterium. Its description in RNAcentral is "partial 16S ribosomal RNA". It matches the Rfam family "Bacterial small subunit ribosomal RNA", at positions 29 to 507 of the family's 1533-position model. The record is from RNAcentral.